AACGUAGGGGGCGAGCGUUAUCCGGAAUUACUGGGCGUAAAGGGCGUCUAGGCGGCAGUCUAAGUCCUGCGUGAAAGCUCCCGGCUCAACUGGGAGAGGGCGUGGGAAACUGGGCAGCUAGAGAAUCGGAGAGGGGUGUGGAAUUCCCGGUGGAGUGGUGAAAUGCGUUGAGAUCGGGAGGAACACCAGAGGCGAAGGCGGCACCCUGGCCGAGUUCUGACGCUAAAGCGCGACAGCGUGGGGAGCGAACGGGAUUAGAUACCCUCGUA
RNAcentral lists this ribosomal RNA (269 nucleotides) under uncultured prokaryote. Its description in RNAcentral is "partial 16S ribosomal RNA". It matches the Rfam family "Bacterial small subunit ribosomal RNA", at positions 524 to 792 of the family's 1533-position model. The record is from RNAcentral.